Molecule: ribosomal RNA, 800 nt
Filed under: uncultured bacterium
Lineage: Bacteria
Description: bacterial SSU rRNA
Rfam family: Bacterial small subunit ribosomal RNA
Source: RNAcentral
AGAGUUUGAUCCUGGCUCAGAUUGAACGCUGGCGGCAUGCCUUACACAUGCAAGUCGAACGGCAGCGGACCUUCGGGUGCCGGCGAGUGGCGAACGGGUGAGUAAUGCAUCGGAACGUGCCAUUGAGUGGGGGAUAACGUAGCGAAAGUUGCGCUAAUACCGCAUAUUCUGUGAGCAGGAAAGCAGGGGACCGCAAGGCCUUGCGCUCUUUGAGCGGCCGAUGUCAGAUUAGCUAGUUGGUGAGGUAACGGCUUACCAAGGCGACGAUCUGUAGCGGGUCUGAGAGGAUGAUCCGCCACACUGGAACUGAGACACGGUCCAGACUCCUACGGGAGGCAGCAGUGGGGAAUUUUGGACAAUGGGGGCAACCCUGAUCCAGCCAUGCCGCGUGAGUGAAGAAGGCCUUCGGGUUGUAAAGCUCUUUCGGCCGGGAAGAAAUCGCAUGGGUUAAUACCCUGUGUGGAUGACGGUACCGGCAUAAGAAGCACCGGCUAACUACGUGCCAGCAGCCGCGGUAAUACGUAGGGUGCGAGCGUUAAUCGGAAUUACUGGGCGUAAAGCGUGCGCAGGCGGUUUGGUAAGACAGGCGUGAAAUCCCCGGGCUUAACCUGGGAACUGCGUUUGUGACUGCCUCACUAGAGUACGGCAGAGGGGGGUGGAAUUCCACGUGUAGCAGUGAAAUGCGUAGAGAUGUGGAGGAACACCGAUGGCGAAGGCAGCCCCCUGGGCCGAUACUGACGCUCAUGCACGAAAGCGUGGGUAGCAAACAGGAUUAGAUACCCUGGUAGUCCACGCCCUAA